Molecule: small nuclear RNA, 107 nt
Organism: Pteronotus mesoamericanus
Lineage: Eukaryota; Metazoa; Chordata; Mammalia; Chiroptera; Mormoopidae
Source: RefSeq, a predicted model, not a curated record
GUGCUGGCUUUGGCAGCACAGACUCUACCAUUGGGCCUAGGCAGAGAAGGUUAGCAUGGCCCCUGCGCAAGAAUGCCGUGCUAAUUCGUGACUUGUUCCAUAAAAAA